GAUGAACGCUGGCGGCGUGCCUAAUACAUGCAAGUCGAGCGAACAGACGAGGAGCUUGCUUCUCUGACGUUAGCGGCGGACGGGUGAGUAACACGUGGAUAACCUACCUAUAAGACUGGGAUAACUUCGGGAAACCGGAGCUAAUACCGGAUAAUAUAUUGAACCGCAUGGUUCAAUAGUGAAAGACGGUUUUGCUGUCACUUAUAGAUGGAUCCGCGCCGCAUUAGCUAGUUGGUAAGGUAACGGCUUACCAAGGCAACGAUGCGUAGCCGACCUGAGAGGGUGAUCGGCCACACUGGAACUGAGACACGGUCCAGACUCCUACGGGAGGCAGCAGUAGGGAAUCUUCCGCAAUGGGCGAAAGCCUGACGGAGCAACGCCGCGUGAGUGAUGAAGGUCUUCGGAUCGUAAAACUCUGUUAUUAGGGAAGAACAAAUGUGUAAGUAACUAUGCACGUCUGGACGGUACCUAAUCAGAAAGCCACGGCUAACUACGU
Molecule: ribosomal RNA, 496 nt
Filed under: uncultured bacterium
Lineage: Bacteria
Description: partial 16S ribosomal RNA
Rfam family: Bacterial small subunit ribosomal RNA
Source: RNAcentral